RNAcentral lists this ribosomal RNA (253 nucleotides) under uncultured bacterium. Its description in RNAcentral is "partial 16S ribosomal RNA". It matches the Rfam family "Bacterial small subunit ribosomal RNA", at positions 524 to 776 of the family's 1533-position model. The record is from RNAcentral.
UACGAAGGGGGCUAGCGUUGCUCGGAAUCACUGGGCGUAAAGGGUGCGUAGGCGGGUCUUUAAGUCAGGGGUGAAAUCCUGGAGCUCAACUCCAGAACUGCCUUUGAUACUGGGGAUCUCGAGUCCGGAAGAGGUGAGUGGAACUCCGAGUGUAGAGGUGAAAUUCGUAGAUAUUCGGAAGAACACCAGUGGCGAAGGCGGCUCACUGGCUCGGUACUGACGCUGAGGCGCGAAAGCGUGGGGAGCAAACAGG